UCCCUGGUGGUCUAGUGGCUAAGACUCCACGCUGUCAAUGCAGGGGGCCCGGGUUUGAUCCCUGGUCAGAGAG
Molecule: transfer RNA, 73 nt
Filed under: Bos taurus (domestic cattle)
Lineage: Eukaryota; Metazoa; Chordata; Mammalia; Artiodactyla; Bovidae
Also listed under: 4 other names
Rfam family: tRNA
About the family: Transfer RNA (tRNA) molecules are approximately 80 nucleotides in length.
Source: Rfam by way of RNAcentral